Molecule: non-coding RNA, 178 nt
Filed under: Chloroflexota bacterium
Lineage: Bacteria; Bacillati; Chloroflexota
Description: Chloroflexi bacterium (sediment metagenome) 6S RNA
Rfam family: 6S / SsrS RNA
About the family: E. coli 6S RNA was the first non coding RNA to be sequenced, but its function was unknown until recently.
Source: RNAcentral
CGCACCCUGCCGUGCGCGUGAUUUUACCCCUCACGUUUUGAGCCAACACCCUAAAAAAGGUUUCUGACUUCAGUAGAAACAACGCGAUAGGCUAGAGCCAAGGCGGCGUUUCUCGAUACGAAACCACCUGCGAAAGCAGGUUCAAAACUUGGUAGAACACGGCAUGUGCGGGGUAUUA